AUGAACGCGUAGCGGAUGCCUUACGACAUGCAAGUCGAACGGCGAGCGAUAAAGGAGAGCUUGCUCUCUUGAUGGCGAGUGGCGAACGGGUGAGUAAUGUAUCGGAACGUGCCCAGUAGCGGGGGAUAACUACGCGAAAGCGUAGCUAAUACCGCAUACGCCCUACGGGGAAAGGAGGGGAUUCGCAAGGACCUUUCACUAUUGGAGCGGCCGAUAUCGGAUUAGCUAGUUGGUGAGGUAACGGCUCACCAAGGCGACGAUCCGUAGCUGGUUUGAGAGGACGACCAGCCACACUGGGACUGAGACACGGCCCAG
RNAcentral lists this ribosomal RNA (315 nucleotides) under uncultured bacterium. RNAcentral describes it as "bacterial SSU rRNA". It matches the Rfam family "Bacterial small subunit ribosomal RNA", at positions 37 to 334 of the family's 1533-position model. The record is from RNAcentral.